Molecule: long non-coding RNA, 217 nt
Filed under: Homo sapiens (human)
Lineage: Eukaryota; Metazoa; Chordata; Mammalia; Primates; Hominidae
Description: non-protein coding lnc-C17orf51-16:1
Source: RNAcentral
CCUGCCGGGAGCACCGCGCAUGCCUCAGGGGGCGGGACGGGGCGGAGGGGACGAGGCAGGGAGGAGGGGAGGGGUCGAGGCGGGGCAGAGGUGACGAAGCCGAGCGGGGCGGGGUGGAGGGGACGGGGCGGGGCGGAGGGGGAAGGGGUGCGGCUGGGGCGGGUCGGAGGGGGCGGGAUGAGGCGGGGCAGGGGGGGGGGUGGUGUCGGGGCGGGGC